UCUCCUGGUCAAUAACAUCCGAAAAAGCACGAACUUUUCAUUCUUGUUAAUCAGUCAUGUUAUCUAGACAAAGUGAUUAAUAUGUUCCCUUGUUCCUUGCCAUCCGUAUUUAAACCCCCAUGUAAGAAUUUCAAAGUGUACUUCUCGUGGUCAAGUACACAGAAAUAUCCAUGAUUUUUCUUCAAUCAUCCUAAUCCAAGGCCAGCUCUUGCAGCUCAUCCAUAUGAAUUUCGCUGAAGUGGGUUGUCGAACAAAGUUUGUUCGACCCAAUAUAUUUCGACUUGUCAAGAAGUUGAUAGAAUAUUUAUCAAGAAGUUCCUCGGAUGCAUUUGGAUUCAUCUUCUUGUACAGGUAUGUAUAACUGAGAAAAAAGUCACGAGUCGAAUAUGGUGGAUUCUUUAAGAGGUUCACCCAAGCAGUUGUGUCGUGCACACAGGACGGUAGUUGACCAAGCUUCCUGCACUAUCUAAAAAUAAUUUUGCGAAGUCUUGAAACUAACAGCUUGCUAGUUGAUUUUCAUUCUUUGAGUACGAGUUUUUGUUGCUCCUUUUCUAUGUCUUAAUAGUGUUUCGAGUUGUUCUCUCCCUAAUUUCUUGUUUGGGAAGAGGGGGAGUCUACAUAGAAUCAUACAUAUUAGCUCAAUUAGGGACAACGUCAUUUCAUGUCUUCGCUUUACUUCACUAGUAAUAUCCUCCCGUAGAACAUUAGGGUUUUUCAGCUCAAACAAAUAUAUAAAUUGUGUUUUGUUCUUUCUCUAGAGUACUUCAAAGUUCAAACCAAGCUAAAAUAGAAUAUGCUAUGGUGUGAACUAACUUCCUUCAAUAUCCAUUUCCUGUGAGUUAAUUUAAUUUUAAGGGAAGAUUGUUUUGGAAGAAGUUGACUUUCUGCAUGCCAUGCGUUUUUUCGGAGAAGAUAAUUAACUUUCCGCAUUGCAUCUUAAACAACAACAUCAGGAUAUGUAACCCAAAAAAAAACUUAGGAGAAGCAUGUUAUCAUGAAGUUUGAAAACAAAACCAGCUAUUCUUCUGACUUUCUUAUCUGCUAAGAUACAUGAACUUUAAUUUUGAAUAUUUAAGCAAUAUUCCUAUAUAUAUAUAUAUAUAUAUAUAUAUAUAUAUAUAUAUAUAUAUAUAUCCUGAUAGCAGCAAAAUCAUCUGGCCACAACUUAUAGCAUCAAAACUAUUCUUUGCCGCUUGCAAUAUUAACAAAUUGAUUUCUAGUUCCUUUCUUAAAUAACUAGACACCUAUUAACAGGGAUGCAGGUCUAAAUGGCUCAGCACAACCCAUUUCUGAUAAUUAGAGUCCCAAUGACUCUUUCUUGUAUUGGAAGCAACGAUUCUUCUAAACGCAUGCAUCCCUAUAAGAUCAAAUUUAGAUGAUAGGUUGAUCAAUUAGGCAUUUUCCAAACUGAGGAUAUUCAACGGCCAUGUAUCUAAUGUUAAUUAUAAUUAGAUGAGGUGAAAAUGUAUAUCAAAUGAAAAAAAAAAAAAAAAACACUCUCUGCAAUUGUAUUGGAAACUAGCUGAUGUAUAACACGUCAACAUAUCUAAUUUCACAAGAUUGUGAUUCAAUUUCAAAAUGAUUAAUGAGGCUAUGUAGGCUGUAGAGAUUCAUUAGUAUUGACUCGCCAUCCAGAAAUUACAUUUUUAAAACAUGAAAUAGCUGUUUUUUUUUGUUCUUUUUUUCAGGCACCGAGUAAAUUAGUAUCACCAAAAAGCCAUUGGUGAAAAGGGAGUACAGAAGUACAGCUGCAGAAAUUAAUAGCAGAAGACUGUAAAAUCAAACAUAGAUUUCAUGAUGAAUCUUUCCUUGCGAGAUAUUUACCAUUCUUGGUGGACUACAUUUUUCCUCAUGAAAACGAGUGAAAAAUGAAUUUUACAAUCUUCAAACUGUUGCUGUGAAAACCGAAGCGGAAAAAUAAAAUAGAGACCUUAAUGCUAAGAUUGAACAUACAGAGAUGGUCUAAAUAGAAAACGAUCGAUCAUUACAAUCAUAAUUCCUUCAAAUGCAAAUUGAAGGCAGUACAUCCAACAUUCAAUAGCUGAUCAAGUGAGUUCCAACAAAUCUCAGCUAUACAUCCCACCUGACAGUACUAACUUAUUUUUGCUUGGUAUUUGUUCACUAUCCAGUAACCUAGUAUUCAUCCGUAUGGACGCAGUAAGUCCAUAGCUACAGCAAUACCAUUUCAGUUUUAUCAUGUACAGAAACUUGGAUAUCAUACUUCUUUUUUCCCAUAUAAAUGUACGUAGUUCCUAUAAUUAAUUAGUAUGAAUAUUCUAUUAUUUUAGCUUUAUUAUAAGCCUUCACUUCCACAGAUCAAUUUGACAACUGGAAGUCGACGUUGAGGCAUAUUCCUGUGCAGUCUCUGACCUUUUGGAAUCGUUGGCAAGCAUAUGCAUCUGCUCAGCUGCAUGAAAGGUGGCUUUAUUGGAGUAGUUAUUGGUUCCCUUGGACGCAUCCUCGU
RNAcentral lists this long non-coding RNA (2464 nucleotides) under Populus trichocarpa (black cottonwood). RNAcentral describes it as "long non-coding RNA (PTRI_LNC000956)". Lineage: Eukaryota; Viridiplantae; Streptophyta; Magnoliopsida; Malpighiales; Salicaceae. The record is from RNAcentral.